Molecule: non-coding RNA, 157 nt
Filed under: Thioclava pacifica
Lineage: Bacteria; Pseudomonadati; Pseudomonadota; Alphaproteobacteria; Rhodobacterales; Paracoccaceae
Also listed under: 1 other name
Description: FMN sequence
Rfam family: FMN riboswitch aptamer (RFN element)
About the family: The RFN element is a highly conserved domain that is found frequently in the 5'-untranslated regions of prokaryotic mRNAs that encode for flavin mononucleotide (FMN) biosynthesis and transport proteins. This element is a metabolite-dependent riboswitch that directly binds FMN in the absence of proteins.
Source: RNAcentral
CAUCACUCUCAGGGCGGGGCGAAAUUCCCCACCGGCGGUAUGCGGAGGGAUGCCCCUUCGCGAGCCCGCGAGCGCCUUGCGCCUCUUGGCGGAAGGGUCAGCAGAUCAGGUGCGAGGCCUGAGCCGACGGUCAUAGUCCGGAUGGAAGAGAGCAGCA